UACGAGGGGGGCAAAUGUUGUUCGGAAUCACUGGGCGUAAAGGGAGCGUAGGCGGGUUUCUAAGUAAGGUGUUUAAUCCCGGGGCCCAACCCCGGACAGGCAUUUUAAACUGGAAAUCUUGAAUAGUGGAGAGGUCAGUGGAAUUGGAGGUGUAGCGGUGGAAUGCGUAGAGAUCUCCAAGAACACCAGUUGCGAAGGCGGCUGACUGGACACAUAUUGACGCUGAGGCUCGAAAGCAUGGGGAGCAAACAGG
Molecule: ribosomal RNA, 253 nt
Filed under: uncultured bacterium
Lineage: Bacteria
Description: partial 16S ribosomal RNA
Rfam family: Bacterial small subunit ribosomal RNA
Source: RNAcentral